RNAcentral lists this transfer RNA (76 nucleotides) under Bacillota bacterium. Its description in RNAcentral is "Firmicutes bacterium (anaerobic digester metagenome) tRNA-Ala". It matches the Rfam family "tRNA". Rfam says of the family: Transfer RNA (tRNA) molecules are approximately 80 nucleotides in length. Their secondary structure includes four short double-helical elements and three loops (D, anti-codon, and T loops). Lineage: Bacteria; Bacillati; Bacillota. The record is from RNAcentral.
GGGGCUGUAGCUCAGUUGGGAGAGCGCCUGACUGGCAGUCAGGAGGUCAGGGGUUCGAGUCCCCUCAGCUCCACCA